This 480-nucleotide ribosomal RNA is filed under the name Paraprisopus antillarum. RNAcentral's name for it is "partial large subunit ribosomal RNA". The stretch from base 342 to 480 matches the Rfam family "Bacterial large subunit ribosomal RNA", at positions 2473 to 2612 of the family's 2925-position model. Lineage: Eukaryota; Metazoa; Arthropoda; Insecta; Phasmatodea; Prisopodidae. The record is from RNAcentral.
AUAUUUAAUGGCCGCGGUAUAUUGACUGUGCAAAGGUAGCAUAAUCAUUAGUUUAUUAAUUGUUGACUUGUAUGAAUGGUUUGACGAAAUAUUGACUGUCUUAAUUUUAAUUAAUAUAAUUUAAUUUUUUGGUUAAAAAGCUUAAAUUUUUUUGAGGGACGAUAAGACCCUAUAGACCUUUAAUAUUAUUAUUAUAAUUUUGUUUGGGUUAUUUUAUUUUUAAUUUUGGUUAUAUUUUUGUUGGGGUGACAUUUAUGAUUAUUAUAACUCUUUAUAUUAUUUAUUAUUUAUUUAUAUUUUAUUGAUCUUUUAUUAUGGUUUAUAAGAUUAGGUACCUUAGGGAUAACAGCGUAAUUUCUAUUGAGAGUUCUUAUUGACAUUGAAGUUUGCGACCUCGAUGUUGGAUUAAGGAUAUAUUUUGGUGUAGAAGCUUUAAUUAUUGGUCUGUUCGACCUUUAAAUUCUUACAUGAUCUGAGUUC